Molecule: ribosomal RNA, 500 nt
Filed under: uncultured bacterium
Lineage: Bacteria
Description: partial 16S ribosomal RNA
Rfam family: Bacterial small subunit ribosomal RNA
Source: RNAcentral
AUUGAACGCUGGCGGAAUGCUUUACACAUGCAAGUCGAACGGCAGCACGGACUUCGGUCUGGUGGCGAGUGGCGAACGGGUGAGUAAUAUAUCGGAACGUGCCCAGUCGUGGGGGAUAACGUAGCGAAAGCUACGCUAAUACCGCAUACGAUCUACAGAUGAAAGCGGGGGAUCGCAAGACCUCGCGCGAUUGGAGCGGCCGAUAUCAGAUUAGGUAGUUGGUGAGGUAAAGGCUCACCAAGCCGACGAUCUGUAGCUGGUCUGAGAGGACGACCAGCCACACUGGGACUGAGACACGGCCCAGACUCCUACGGGAGGCAGCAGUGGGGAAUUUUGGACAAUGGACGCAAGUCUGAUCCAGCCAUUCCGCGUGCAGGACGAAGGCCUUCGGGUUGUAAACUGCUUUUGUACAGAACGAAAAGCUCUGAGUUAAUACCUCGGGGUCAUGACGGUACUGUAAGAAUAAGCACCGGCUAACUACGUGCCAGCAGCCGCUGUAA